ACUUGUCGCCAUGAACAAAUGUGUAAGAAAAUUAGUAUCUACCAGCAAGAAGUAAAGUGAUAGUUUUCUCCAGAAUAUGAAAAAUGGAGAGUAAGUCUGAAAAAACGAUAAAGAAUUUCGUUAGGCAGGUUUCGAUCAAGGACGGUUAUCUGAGGAUCACCUUGCCCUGAUCUUUCACUUUAAUCUGACCCGUGGAAGAGGCAGGAGUUGUCCGUAAUUUCGACUCGCGACGUGAUUGGAAGUAAAGAUAGGCAGUGAUAGAACAUUUCGCUUUUUGAAAGUGCUACCCGUGUGCGACCGCAGUUCGUGCCUGCAAGUGUGCUGCGAGAGAUUCGCCACGGAACACGUCAUCGACAUCCUGCUACAUUGUCAGCGACUUCUUCUGACCCCACCGUCAGCUUCAAGGUUUCCCGGCCCGCUACAACGCCGGACGAGGGUAGCGUCAUCAACGUUGCGCCCUGUACGGGAUAGGCUGGCCGAACAGCAAUCGGCAGCAUCCAACACACAGCAAACAACUAGCAUCGAGUGAGACUACUAGCGUCGAGUAGAAAGCAGCCAAUUUCGCACGCCGUGCGUCGUCAGCAGCAGGAGUAAAUUUCGGGAUCCGCGUGGCGCGGAUCAGCUAGAUCGCGUAUUGCCCAGGAUAGCGAUGGCGACCCCGCCAUUUUGUUGUUAAACCUCAUGGACCACCAAGCAGUGACGGUAAACCUCAAGUAAACCCCGGGUAUUGAGUGAGUACUCUUUUUUUGAAUUGUUGUCCAUGCGCAUGUGACUAUUAUACGGGCCGUGCCCCUAACCGAACCAACAGCAGCCGGUUGGUAGCAUCCCACCGCACCGCACAUUGAACGUACGUUAUCUUGCACACACCGCUAGCUAGAACAGAAGAAAGAUGGGAAAGGAUAGAUUGAAAUAGGCCUAGGGAAAACGUAUUGUAAAUCUCGAAUGAAUAAACUGCACAGUGUC
Molecule: long non-coding RNA, 963 nt
Organism: Sabethes cyaneus
Lineage: Eukaryota; Metazoa; Arthropoda; Insecta; Diptera; Culicidae
Exons: 4
Source: RefSeq, a predicted model, not a curated record